Molecule: non-coding RNA, 236 nt
Filed under: Sedimentisphaera salicampi
Lineage: Bacteria; Pseudomonadati; Planctomycetota; Phycisphaerae; Sedimentisphaerales; Sedimentisphaeraceae
Source: RNAcentral
ACAAUCCGGCACGGGUAAAGGCUAACCACCAGCCCGGGACUGAACCGGACGUAUUGCGAGGUAACGAGUAAUGCGAAGCUUCGGUAAGGGCAGUUUGUCAGCCGUAACGCAAGUGAAGGUAUCGAGCCCCGAAAUAAUCCUUAUUUCACUGGGUCAAGGGUUUCAUUUCUUGGAAACCAGUAUCGAUGCGCACGUUAAAGGUGAGUGCGUAAUCGACGUGGCGGGGUCUAAGUCCG